Molecule: long non-coding RNA, 461 nt
Filed under: Bos mutus (wild yak)
Lineage: Eukaryota; Metazoa; Chordata; Mammalia; Artiodactyla; Bovidae
Description: lncRNA (ENSBMUG00000008979.1)
Source: RNAcentral
CCCAAAGGCACUGGGGCUCUGACUGCCUAAGCCCUUUCUGGAGAUUCUGUGAUGAGUUGCUCCUUGUGUGUCUCUACUGGCAGAUAAGGAGUCUGGUUUCCUGAGUUUGCUAAUCACGUUCAUCUACUUUCUUUUUUUUUUUCUUAUUUUUUUUCCCAGCACAUCACUGCAUAUAUAUUUAAACCAAUCCAUCUUUCAGGAAACAGAAGCACCACACAGCGUGCAGUUAGCAAAGCCAACAAUAUCUUUUUAGAAGAGGACAUGUGAUUACAAGUUGCCUAAUUGUUGAAGUGUUGGAAACUCCAGUCUCUAAAGUUUUGGGAAAAUCAACCAGGAUUUAUACUUUGUCAAGGUAUGGUUAUGCCUUUUUUUUUUUUGGUGGUGGUGGGGAGGUAGAGGCUUCGAGUGCUGAGGUGCCAGUUUUCAGGUACUUAAAAUAGUGCAAUUUAACAUAAAACACC